Molecule: unclassified non-coding RNA, 312 nt
Filed under: plant metagenome
Description: partial contains 5.8S ribosomal RNA, internal transcribed spacer 2, and large subunit ribosomal RNA
Rfam family: 5.8S ribosomal RNA (bases 1-104)
Source: RNAcentral
AAAUGCGAUAAUUAAUGUGAAUUGCAGAAUUCAGUGAAUCAUCGAGUCUUUGAACGCACAUUGCGCCCCCUGGUAUUCCGGGGGGCAUGCCUGUCCGAGCGUCAUUGCUGCCCUCAAGCACGGCUUGUGUGUUGGGCUUCCGUCCCUGGCAACGGGGACGGGCCCAAAAGGCAGUGGCGGCACCAUGUCUGGUCCUCGAGCGUAUGGGGCUUUGUCACCCGCUCCCGUAGGUCCAGCUGGCAGCUAGCCUCGCAACCAAUCUUUUUAACCAGGUUGACCUCGGAUCAGGUAGGGAUACCCGCUGAACUUAAG